This 202-nucleotide unclassified non-coding RNA is filed under the name Hevea brasiliensis (rubber tree). Lineage: Eukaryota; Viridiplantae; Streptophyta; Magnoliopsida; Malpighiales; Euphorbiaceae. The record is from RNAcentral.
GAAUUGUUGUUGCCUUUGGCUAGCUUAUCUUCUGGUAAUAUCCCUUUCACAAAUGCGACAUGUGAUCAAUCAUUUGCCAAAAAUCAGUAUUGCAUAUACAAGUGUCUUUGGCAACAAAAGCAACUUUUUGAUAACUUGUAUGGCAUGUUGUAUGAAGAGCACUUGUUUGUGCAAACUAUCGAAGGUUUCCAUUUGAAUACUU